GACGAACGCUGGCGGCGUGCUUAACACAUGCAAGUCGAACGGAAAGGCCCUGCUUUUGUGGGUUGCUCUAGUGGCGAACGGGUGAGUAACACGUGAGUAACCUGCCCUUGACUUUGGGAUAACUUCAGGAAACUGGGGCUAAUACCGGAUAUGAGCUCCUGCUGCAUGGUGGGGGUUGGAAAGUUUCUGCGGUUGGGGAUGGACUCGCGGCUUAUCAGCUUGUUGGUGGGGUAGUGGCUUACCAAGGCUUUGACGGGUAGCCGGCCUGAGAGGGUGACCGGCCACACUGGGACUGAGAUACGGCCCAGACUCCUACGGGAGGCAGCAGUGGGGAAUAUUGCACAAUGGGCGGAAGCCUGAUGCAGCAACGCCGCGUGAGGGAUGACGGCCUUCGGGUUGUAAACCGCUUUCGCCAGUGAAGAAGCGUGAGUGACGGUAAUGGGUAAAGAAGCACCGGCUAACUACGUG
RNAcentral lists this ribosomal RNA (468 nucleotides) under uncultured bacterium. RNAcentral's name for it is "partial 16S ribosomal RNA". It matches the Rfam family "Bacterial small subunit ribosomal RNA", at positions 28 to 507 of the family's 1533-position model. The record is from RNAcentral.